GAUGAACGCUGGCGGCGUGCCUAAUACAUUCAAGUCGAGCGAACGGACGAGAAGCUUGCUUCUCUGAUGUUAGCGGCGGACGGGUGAGUAACACGUGGAUAACCUACCUAUAAGACUGGGAUAACUUCGGGAAACCGGAGCUAAUACCGGAUAAUAUUUUGAACCGCAUGGUUCAAAAGUGAAAGACGGUCUUGCUGUCACUUAUAGGUGGAUCCGCGCUGCAUUAGCUAGUUGGUAAGGUAACGGCUUACCAAGGCAACGAUGCAUAGCCGACCUGAGAGGGUGAUCGGCCACACUGGAACUGAGACACGGUCCAGACUCCUACGGGAGGCAGCAGUAGGGAAUCUUCCGCAAUGGGCGAAAGCCUGACGGAGCAACGCCGCGUGAGUGAUGAAGGUCUUCGGAUCGUAAAACUCUGUUAUUAGGGAAGAACAUAUGUGUAAGUAACUGUGCACAUCUUGACGGUACCUAAUCAGAAAGCCACGGCUAACUACGUG
This 497-nucleotide ribosomal RNA is filed under the name uncultured bacterium. RNAcentral's name for it is "partial 16S ribosomal RNA". It matches the Rfam family "Bacterial small subunit ribosomal RNA", at positions 28 to 507 of the family's 1533-position model. The record is from RNAcentral.